Molecule: long non-coding RNA, 521 nt
Organism: Monomorium pharaonis (pharaoh ant)
Lineage: Eukaryota; Metazoa; Arthropoda; Insecta; Hymenoptera; Formicidae
Exons: 2
Source: RefSeq, a predicted model, not a curated record
AAUUGCUAAAUUCUCUUUAAAAUGCGUUUUAUGCGUUUACAUCGACAUUUGUAUCACUUGGUACCACUGAUCUUAUUAAAGUGGAUAUGGCAUAGGACGAAAUAAGUGUGACCAAUUGAAGGUUGUAGUCUCUGUACACAAUAUGGCGGUGUAUACGAAUACGAACACAGUUUACUAUGACGAUGAUACGAAAUUCCACGUGUAAUUAAUUAUCUAUAGACGUAGAUGUAUAGCAGUUUUAUCCAAAAUAUUACUUUUUUUAUAAUAAAAAUAGUAAAAUAGUAAAAUAGUAAGAUUCCAAAAUUAAAAAAUGUGUUUAUUGUGGAAAAGGAAGUGAAAAUAAACAACAAACGUUUCAUAGCUGCAAGUAUGGAUUACUACAAUACAAUUAAGGACACAAGGACAAAAUAAGCUAUAACAAUACCCUUUAAACUUAUUUAUAAGUUUAGUAGUAGUAGUAUUAUUUAUUAGUAAAAUUAUUUAACAAGAUGGUCAUAAAUAAAAAUUUACGAUUUUUAGAC